This 470-nucleotide ribosomal RNA is filed under the name uncultured organism. Its description in RNAcentral is "partial 16S ribosomal RNA". It matches the Rfam family "Bacterial small subunit ribosomal RNA", at positions 333 to 805 of the family's 1533-position model. The record is from RNAcentral.
ACACUCCUACGGGAGGCAGCAGUGAGGAAUAUUGGACAAUGGGUGGAAGCCUGAUCCAGCCAUCCCGCGUGCAGGAAGACGGCCCUAUGGGUUGUAAACUGCUUUUAUCUGGGGAUAAACCUACUUACGUGUAAGUAGCUGAAGGUACCAGAAGAAUAAGCACCGGCUAACUCCGUGCCAGCAGCCGCGGUAAUACGGAAGGUGCAAGCGUUAUCCGGAUUUAUUGGGUUUAAAGGGUCCGUAGGCGGACUGAUAAGUCAGUGGUGAAAUCCGACAGCUUAACUGUCGAACUGCCAUUGAUACUGUUAGUCUUGAGUAAGGUUGAAGUGGCUGGAAUAAGUAGUGUAGCGGUGAAAUGCAUAAAUAUUACUUAGAACACCAAUUGCGAAGGCAGGUCACUAAGUCUUAACUGACGCUGAUGGACGAAAGCGUUGGGAGCGAACAGGAUUAGAAACCCGGUAGUCCCAUGA